UGUUCCUACGGGGCGCAGCAGUGAGGAAUAUUGGCCAAUGGGCGAGAGCCUGAACCAGCCAAGUCGCGUGAAGGAUGACGGCCCUAUGGGUUGUAAACUUCUUUUGUCAGGGAGCAAUUGAGUCCACGUGUGGGCUUAGCGAGAGUACCUGAAGAAAAAGCAUCGGCUAACUCCGUGCCAGCAGCGGCGGUAAUACGGAGGAUGCGAGCGUUAUCCGGAUUUAUUGGGUUUAAAGGGUGCGUAGGCGGAAUAUCAAGUCAGCGGUAAAAAUACAGGGCUCAACUCCGUCGUGUAGUUGACA
This 301-nucleotide ribosomal RNA is filed under the name uncultured bacterium. RNAcentral's name for it is "bacterial SSU rRNA". It matches the Rfam family "Bacterial small subunit ribosomal RNA", at positions 334 to 632 of the family's 1533-position model. The record is from RNAcentral.